RNAcentral lists this long non-coding RNA (475 nucleotides) under Chrysemys picta bellii (western painted turtle). RNAcentral describes it as "lncRNA (ENSCPBG00000003428.1)". Lineage: Eukaryota; Metazoa; Chordata; Testudines; Emydidae. The record is from RNAcentral.
UAUUCUUCAUGAAUCAGCCCCUAUGUUUGAAACAAAUCGUUGCAGCAACAAGGAAUGACAGCAUGACAGCCUGGAUGCAGUGGGAAGAACUGGUGCAGUUUAAAAGGUGGCAACCAGAACUGUCUUUCUUCUCACGAGAUGGAGUACCAAGCCUGUUCAUACACCUGAAAGCUGUCACUCUCCACAAGUGCAAUCUCUGUCUCCCUCACCACUGGGCAUCUGGAAGUCAAGAUAUCACUUACAGCAGCGCAUGUCAGAGAUAUUAAUUAAAUUCCUGAUGGCCACCCAGAGAACUUAAUGAAUGCAGAUUUCACAAUGUCCCAACUCAUAAAACUACAUGUUUAACCCAUUAAGUGUCAAUAUAUUUCUUCCAGGAGGAAAGAAAAAGGGAAAGUUGGCAGCCAAGGGAUUGUAUAAGAAAGAUUUGGGGGACAAAGGCAUCUAACGGACUUUCUGGAAGUCUGAAGAACAAUGU